Molecule: non-coding RNA, 633 nt
Organism: Camellia sinensis
Lineage: Eukaryota; Viridiplantae; Streptophyta; Magnoliopsida; Ericales; Theaceae
Source: RefSeq, a predicted model, not a curated record
AAAACUGAAUGAGAGACAAUCCAAAAACUAGAUAUUUGAACGUCUCUGUUUUAGUUUGAAUGUGUUGCACUGAGUAAUCAUAUGCAGUUAAAGAAUACCAUGGUAAUGAGACUGCUCCUUUUCCCAGAUGAAAUUGAUGGAACGUGACAUAUUCUGCUGUUUCUGGAGGUGGCCUCCUUCAUAGCUUGGUCAAUCAGUGCCGAGGUGAUUUGUUAGCAGACCAUCUCACAACCAGAAAAUGUUGUCUUCAAGCGAUUGGAAUGGCAAGGUUUUGUAGUUCAUCCAGCCAAAACUUCUAUCAAUUUGAAAAUUUUGCUUCAACUUUAUAUAGCUGUAAAACUACUGCUGAUUUUUUUACAAUGUAGUAAGCAUUGAUCAGCUACAAUUUUUAUGUGAUAAAGUGGUCUACAUUCUAAUCUGAAAUUCUCAUUUGCUUGAUUUCUACCAUGGAAAAUGUUUGGGCCCCCUUUGGAUGACCUCCACACUCUCAAAGUGAUCCUAGUCCUCUAUGUAUGUGUGAGACCCAUUCAUGUAUGUGUAGGGCUCACUCAUAUAUGUGUGGGGCUCACUUAUGAGUGGUCCAAAUUUGUGGGAAUCUUGUGGAGGUGGGGUCUCAAUCAUUGCUCUUUUACC